CAGUCGCCGCGGGAAUACGAAGGGGGCUAGCGUUGCUCGGAAUUACUGGGCGUAAAGGGAGCGUAGGCGGGUCGUUUAGUCAGAGGUGAAAUCCCGGGGCUCAACCUCGGAACUGCCCUUGAUACUGGCGACCUUGAGGAUGGGAGAGGUAAGCGGAACUCCGAGUGUAGAGGUGAAAUUCGUAGAUAUUCGGAAGAACACCAGUGGCGAAGGCGGCUUACUGGCCCAUUACUGACGCUGAGGCUCGAAAGCGUGGGGAGCAAACAGGAUUAGAUACCCGUGUAGUCCCUGUCUCUUAUCA
This 301-nucleotide ribosomal RNA is filed under the name uncultured bacterium. RNAcentral describes it as "partial 16S ribosomal RNA". It matches the Rfam family "Bacterial small subunit ribosomal RNA", at positions 509 to 809 of the family's 1533-position model. The record is from RNAcentral.